UUUUUUAAAUAAAAUUGACGGUUACGUCACGUAUUUGAGAAGGAAAUGGAGGAUGGAAGUAAAGAACUGGUUUUCGAUGAAGGUUUACUUUUCUGGGACAAGAUGUCGAAGAAUUUCCAGAAGAAUUAGUUUUAGUUUUAACAUAUUUAAUAUGAUAUGCACCAUCCACCAAUUAAGAGCAUUUCUAGUAAGAGCUGAAGAAUGUGUUAAAGUUAUGUUUAUGGAAGACCAAAACCGCAACCAGUCGUAAGAAAUCAUACAAGAAUGCAUCAAAGAAGAAAGUAUAUUUCAUUGCAAAGGACGAAAAGCAGAAAAUUAAAUGAAGAUGAUUAUCUAUAUAUUUUUGUUGCAAACAGCAUAUAAAUUGUUUAUAGAAAAAUAAACUGUAUAAAUGACAUUAAUUUGUGAUAGUAUUUAUGCCUGUUGGUAAUACAUGUAUUUCUGUGUAUUUGUGAACACA
Long non-coding RNA from Centruroides sculpturatus (bark scorpion), 460 nucleotides. RefSeq lists it as uncharacterized. The transcript has 3 exons. Lineage: Eukaryota; Metazoa; Arthropoda; Arachnida; Scorpiones; Buthidae. The record is from RefSeq and is a predicted model, not a curated record.